AGCCGUCGUAGACCACGACGUUGAUAGGCUGGAUGUGGAAGUGCGGUAACGCAUGGAGCUAACCAGUCCUAAUUGCUCUUAUCGCGCUU
This 89-nucleotide ribosomal RNA is filed under the name Sphingobium limneticum. RNAcentral describes it as "partial 23S ribosomal RNA". It matches the Rfam family "Bacterial large subunit ribosomal RNA", at positions 2833 to 2925 of the family's 2925-position model. Lineage: Bacteria; Pseudomonadati; Pseudomonadota; Alphaproteobacteria; Sphingomonadales; Sphingobiaceae. The record is from RNAcentral.